RNAcentral lists this ribosomal RNA (376 nucleotides) under uncultured Acidobacteriota bacterium. RNAcentral's name for it is "bacterial SSU rRNA". It matches the Rfam family "Bacterial small subunit ribosomal RNA", at positions 11 to 401 of the family's 1533-position model. Lineage: Bacteria; Pseudomonadati; Acidobacteriota. The record is from RNAcentral.
UUUUGAUCCUGGCUCAGAACGAACGCUGGCGGCGUGCCUAACACAUGCAAGUCGCACGAGAAAGGGGCUUCGGCCCUGAGUAAAGUGGCGCACGGGUGAGUAACACGUGACUUAUCUACCUCCGAGUGGGGAAUAACUGAGGGAAACCUUAGCUAAUACCGCAUAACACUUACGAGUCAAAGCAGCAAUGCGCUUGGAGAGGAGGUCGCGGCAGAUUAGCUAGUUGGCGGGGUAAUGGCCCACCAAGGCGAUGAUCUGUAUCCGGCCUGAGAGGGCGCACGGACACACUGGAACUGAAACACGGUCCAGACUCCUACGGGAGGCAGCAGUGGGGAAUUUUGCGCAAUGGGGGAAACCCUGACGCAGCAACGCCGCG